Molecule: transfer RNA, 66 nt
Filed under: Gorpis annulatus
Lineage: Eukaryota; Metazoa; Arthropoda; Insecta; Hemiptera; Nabidae
Description: tRNA-Leu
Source: RNAcentral
AUUGUCUUGGCAGAUUAAUUGUAAUAAAUUUAGAAUUUAUUUAUGUAAUAAAUAUUACAGGCAAUA